RNAcentral lists this non-coding RNA (30 nucleotides) under Mus musculus (house mouse). Lineage: Eukaryota; Metazoa; Chordata; Mammalia; Rodentia; Muridae. The record is from RNAcentral.
UGGCACCUUGAUCUUGGACUUCUGGUCUCC